CAACUUGAGAGUUUGAUCCUGGCUCAGAACGAACGCUGGCGGCAGGCUUAACACAUGCAAGUCGAGCGCCCCGCAAGGGGAGCGGCAGACGGGUGAGUAACACGUGGGAAUCUACCCAUCCCUGCGGAACAACUCCGGGAAACUGGAGCUAA
Molecule: ribosomal RNA, 152 nt
Filed under: Agrobacterium sp. Ap1
Lineage: Bacteria; Pseudomonadati; Pseudomonadota; Alphaproteobacteria; Hyphomicrobiales; Rhizobiaceae
Description: partial 16S ribosomal RNA
Rfam family: Bacterial small subunit ribosomal RNA
Source: RNAcentral